RNAcentral lists this ribosomal RNA (527 nucleotides) under uncultured bacterium. Its description in RNAcentral is "bacterial SSU rRNA". It matches the Rfam family "Bacterial small subunit ribosomal RNA", at positions 8 to 526 of the family's 1533-position model. The record is from RNAcentral.
AGAGUUUGAUCAUGGCUCAGGAUGAACGCUAGCGGCAGGCUUAAUACAUGCAAGUCGAGGGGCAGCAGGUCUGUAGCAAUACAGAUGCUGGCGACCGGCAAACGGGUGCGGAACACGUACAGAACCUUCCUUCGAGCGGGGAAUAGCCCAGAGAAAUUUGGAUUAAUACCCCAUAGUAUAUUGAAGUGGCAUCACUUUGAUAUUAAAGAUUUAUCACUUGAAGAUGGCUGUGCGGCUGAUUAGGUAGUUGGCGGGGUAACGGCCCACCAAGCCAGCGAUCAGUAACUGGUGUGAGAGCACGACCAGUCACACGGGCACUGAGACACGGGCCCGACUCCUACGGGAGGCAGCAGUAAGGAAUAUUGGUCAAUGGACGAAAGUCUGAACCAGCCAUGCCGCGUGGAGGAUGAAGGUCCUCUGGAUUGUAAACUUCUUUUAUCUGGGACGAAAAAAGGGAAUUCUUUCUCGUCUGACGGUACCAGAUGAAUAAGCACCGGCUAACUCCGUGCCAGCAGCCGCGGUAAUUC